ACGCUCGACACCUACGGGGGCAGCAGUGAGGAAUAUUGGUCAAUGGACGCAAGUCUGAACCAGCCAUGCCGCGUGCAGGAUGACGGCUCUAUGAGUUGUAAACUGCUUUUGUACGAGGGUAAACGCAGAUACGUGUAUCUGUCUGAAAGUAUCGUACGAAUAAGGAUCGGCUAACUCCGUGCCAGUAGCCGCGGUAAUCUGAGCGGGCUGGCAAGGC
This 217-nucleotide ribosomal RNA is filed under the name uncultured bacterium. Its description in RNAcentral is "partial 16S ribosomal RNA". It matches the Rfam family "Bacterial small subunit ribosomal RNA", at positions 328 to 539 of the family's 1533-position model. The record is from RNAcentral.